UAGAUUGAAGCCCGCUGGCUUGGGUGUUUAGUUGUUAAUUAAGUCUUCGCGGGAUCAAGGCCCGUCAAUCUAGU
Molecule: transfer RNA, 74 nt
Filed under: Teratoscincus keyserlingii (Persian wonder Gecko)
Lineage: Eukaryota; Metazoa; Chordata; Lepidosauria; Squamata; Sphaerodactylidae
Description: tRNA-Asn
Source: RNAcentral